UGCGUAGGUGGCGAGCGUUGUCCGGAUUUACUGGGCGUAAAGGGAGCGUAGGCGGACUUUUAAGUGAGAUGUGAAAUACUCGGGCUCAACUUGAGUGCUGCAUUUCAAACUGGAAGUCUAGAGUGCAGGAGAGAAGAAUGGAAUUCCUAGUGUAGCGGUGAAAUGCGUAGAGAUUAGGAAGAACACCAGUGGCGAAGGCGAUUCUCUGGACUGUAACUGACGCUGAGGCUCGAAAGCGUGGGGAGCAAACAGG
This 253-nucleotide ribosomal RNA is filed under the name uncultured bacterium. RNAcentral describes it as "partial 16S ribosomal RNA". It matches the Rfam family "Bacterial small subunit ribosomal RNA", at positions 524 to 776 of the family's 1533-position model. The record is from RNAcentral.